This 72-nucleotide transfer RNA is filed under the name Vicugna pacos (alpaca). Its description in RNAcentral is "tRNA-Ala (AGC) (tRNA-Ala-AGC-210-1)". It matches the Rfam family "tRNA". From Rfam's summary of the family: Transfer RNA (tRNA) molecules are approximately 80 nucleotides in length. The record is from Rfam by way of RNAcentral. Lineage: Eukaryota; Metazoa; Chordata; Mammalia; Artiodactyla; Camelidae.
GGAGGUAUAGCUCAGUGGUAGAGUGCAUGCUUAGCAUGCAUGAGGUCCUGGGUUCAAUCCCCAGUAUCUCCU